AAGUCUGGCCUGCCCAAUGAAUUUUUUUUUAAUGGCCGCAGUAUUUUGACUGUGCAAAGGUAGCAUAAUCAUUAGUUUCUUAAUUAGGAACUGGAAUGAAGGGUUGGACGAGAAAAUAACUGUCUCUUUAUAAUUUAUUUAGAAUUUUAUUUUUAAGUUAGAAAGCUUAAAUAAUUUUAAAAGACGAGAAGACCCUAUAGAGUUUUAUAAAAUAUAUUUUAAUAUUAAAAGUUGAUUUUUUAUUUAUUUAAAGUAUAUUUUAUUUUGUUGGGGUGAUAAAAAAAUUUAGUUAACUUUAAUUUUAUACAAACAUUAAUUUAUGAAUUAUUGAUCCAUUAAUUAUGAUUAAAAGAUUAAAUUACCUUAGGGAUAACAGCGUAAUUUCUUUAUAGAGUUCUAAUCGAUAAAGAAGUUUGCGACCUCGAUGUUGGAUUAAAAUAUAGUUUUGGUGUAGAAGCUAAAAUAUUAGGUCUGUUCGACCUUUAAAAUUUUACAUGAUCUGAGUUUAAACCGGUGUAAGCCAGGUUGGUUUCUAUCUUUAAAAUAAAAUAGUAUUUUAGUACGAAAGGACCAAAUACUUAUAAAAUUUAU
RNAcentral lists this ribosomal RNA (591 nucleotides) under Stethusa dichroa. RNAcentral's name for it is "partial 16S ribosomal RNA". It matches the Rfam family "Bacterial large subunit ribosomal RNA", at positions 1850 to 2712 of the family's 2925-position model. The record is from RNAcentral. Lineage: Eukaryota; Metazoa; Arthropoda; Insecta; Coleoptera; Staphylinidae.